This 466-nucleotide ribosomal RNA is filed under the name Nitrosospira sp. YKU14. RNAcentral's name for it is "bacterial SSU rRNA". It matches the Rfam family "Bacterial small subunit ribosomal RNA", at positions 198 to 644 of the family's 1533-position model. Lineage: Bacteria; Pseudomonadati; Pseudomonadota; Betaproteobacteria; Nitrosomonadales; Nitrosomonadaceae. The record is from RNAcentral.
GGAGGAAAGUAGGGGAUCGCAAGACCUCACGUUAUAGGAGCGGCCGAUGUCCGAUUAGCUAGUUGGUGGGGUAAAGGCCUACCAAGGCGACGAACGGUAGCUGGUCUGAGAGGAUGAUCAGCCACACUGGGACUGAGACACGGCCCAGACUCCUACGGGAGGCAGCAGUGGGGAAUUUUGGACAAUGGGCGAAAGCCUGAUCCAGCCAUGCCGCGUGCGGGAAGAAGGCCUUCGGGUUGUAAACCGCUUUAGUCCGGGAAAAAGGGGUGCGAGGAUAAUACCCUUGUGCUUUGAUGGUACUGGAAGAAUAAGCACCGGCUAACUACGUGCCAGCAGCCGCGGUAAUACGUAGGGUGCGAGCGUUAAUCGGAAUUACUGGGCGUAAAGCGUGCGCAGGCGGUCUUGUAAGACAGUCGUGAAAGCCCCGGGCUUAACCUGGGAACUGCGUUUGAAACUACAAAGCUAG